UAAGACGUAGGGUGCAAGCGUUGUCCGGAUUUACUGGGCGUAAAGAGCGCGUAGGCGGUCUGUUAAGUGAGAAGUGAAAUCUCCAGGGCUCAACCCGGAAACUGCUUUUCAUACUGGCAGACUUGAGGGAUGCAGAGGUGAAUAGAAUUCCUGGUGUAGCGGUGACAUGCAUUGAUAUCAGGAGGAAUACCCAUGGCGAAGGCAGUUCACUGGGCAUCAUCUGACGCUGAGGCGCGAAAGCGUGGGUAGCAAACAGG
This 257-nucleotide ribosomal RNA is filed under the name uncultured bacterium. RNAcentral describes it as "partial 16S ribosomal RNA". It matches the Rfam family "Bacterial small subunit ribosomal RNA", at positions 521 to 776 of the family's 1533-position model. The record is from RNAcentral.